AUCCGUAGAGUGCGAGCGUUGUCCGGAAUUACUGGGCGUAAAGAGCUCGUAGGUGGUUUGUCGCGUCGUCUGUGAAAUUCCGGGGCUUAACUCCGGGCGUGCAGGCGAUACGGGCAUAACUUGAGUACUGUAGGGGAGACUGGAAUUCCUGGUGUAGCGGUGAAAUGCGCAGAUAUCAGGAGGAACACCGGUGGCGAAGGCGGGUCUCUGGGCAGUAACUGACGCUGAGGAGCGAAAGCAUGGGUAGCGAACAGGAUUAGAUACCCUGGUAGUCCAUGCCGUAAACGGUGGGCGCUAGGUGUAGGGGUCUUCCACGACUUCUGUGCCGUAGCUAACGCAUUAAGCGCCCCGCCUGGGGAGUACGGCCGCAAGGCUAAAACUCAAAGGAAUUGACGGGG
This 398-nucleotide ribosomal RNA is filed under the name uncultured bacterium. RNAcentral describes it as "partial 16S ribosomal RNA". It matches the Rfam family "Bacterial small subunit ribosomal RNA", at positions 523 to 918 of the family's 1533-position model. The record is from RNAcentral.